This 57-nucleotide transfer RNA is filed under the name Streptococcus agalactiae. RNAcentral's name for it is "tRNA-Ala (TGC) (tRNA-Ala-TGC-2-1)". The record is from RNAcentral. Lineage: Bacteria; Bacillati; Bacillota; Bacilli; Lactobacillales; Streptococcaceae.
AGCUCAGCUGGGAGAGCGCCUGCUUUGCACGCAGGAGGUCAGCGGUUCGAUCGAAUA